UCAAUGCUAUCUCCUUCAAUGAGCUUGUGAUUGUGUGUGGCCUGGUCAAGCUCUGAUGUGCUAUAGUAACUUGCACUCAUUUGCAUGGGUGGAGAGUUACCAUACCUAGAAGCAUAUAUCCCAAAACCAUUUUUGUUUCUCAAUGUUACCCAUCUUACAUCUGCCCUACCAGAACAUUCUCCAGGAACAACAUAAGGAACAUGCAAAUCUUUAACAUUCUUCUCGUAGACUGCUACUUGAGCAGAUGCCUUUCGAUCUGGAUAACUCUCAUGUGGCCCUCUUCCAUACCAUGUUACUUGAUCCAAUGAUUUCUCCACAUUGAACUCGAUUCCAACACGCGGCAAAGGAGGAAGAUCAAGGUUUGGUUUUACGUUGCAUUCCAUAAUAACAUCCCCAGAAGCAUAAAUUGUAUAUGAAACAUCAGUUGUGAAUAAAAUAUUUGACUUGUCUUGAUCACCCUUGGUAAUACCAAGAAAAACCACCAAUAUUUUAACCGUGUCCUCCGCUGUAUUCACUAUAGAACAUCUUUCAGUAACAAAGUGGAGGUUGUCAAUUCCAGCAGCUUUCCACCUGGACAAAUAACUAGCAGAUUCUCCUCCUUUAUCAUUAUCAAUAGAAGCUCGCCAGAAACUUGGGAGUAUACCCUUGCUCAUAACAUUUACUCCUUUAACCUAGAAAUUAUCAGCACAGUAUUAGUACCAAUAUUUACUCCUUUGUUAUGUACAUUAAAACAAAAAAGUAAAAAGAAAUUUGACGUCAAAAUUAAUCAAAAAUGGGUUUGACAUGUAACAUUCUCAUCAACUGAUUAUUACUUGUGUAUGAAUUUGUAAGAUGAAAAUCAUGUCCUGAAGUACAGAAUUACCACAUACCAAAUGCAACACAUGCCGAAAAAUGCAGAUUACAUAAAAUGUCAGUAGUUCGAAUACCAAAAUAACAUUAGCAUAUGAAAAUGCAAUAUAACCAACAUUUUGACUAGUCCUGAAAAGCACAUGGACAUAAAUAUUGAUAGAAGUUAAAUACCUCAAUGCUAUCUCCUUCAAUGAGCUUGUGAUUGUGUGUGGCCUGGUCAAGCUCUGAUGUGCUAUAGUAACUUGCACUCAUUUGCAUGGGUGGAGAGUUACCAUACCUAGAAGCAUAUAUCCCAAAACCAUUUUUGUUUCUCAAUGUUACCCAUCUUACAUCUGCCCUACCAGAACAUUCUCCAGGAACAACAUAAGGAACAUGCAAAUCUUUAACAUUCUUCUCGUAGACUGCUACUUGAGCAGAUGCCUUUCGAUCUGGAUAACUCUCAUGUGGCCCUCUUCCAUACCAUGUUACUUGAUCCAAUGAUUUCUCCACAUUGAACUCGAUUCCAACACGCGGCAAAGGAGGAAGAUCAAGGUUUGGUUUUACGUUGCAUUCCAUAAUAACAUCCCCAGAAGCAUAAAUUGUAUAUGAAACAUCAGUUGUGAAUAAAAUAUUUGACUUGUCUUGAUCACCCUUGGUAAUACCAAGAAAAACCACCAAUAUUUUAACCGUGUCCUCCGCUGUAUUCACUAUAGAACAUCUUUCAGUAACAAAGUGGAGGUUGUCAAUUCCAGCAGCUUUCCACCUGGACAAAUAACUAGCAGAUUCUCCUCCUUUAUCAUUAUCAAUAGAAGC
RNAcentral lists this long non-coding RNA (1641 nucleotides) under Lupinus angustifolius (narrow-leaved blue lupine). RNAcentral describes it as "long non-coding RNA (LANG_LNC002090)". Lineage: Eukaryota; Viridiplantae; Streptophyta; Magnoliopsida; Fabales; Fabaceae. The record is from RNAcentral.